AUCCUUUUGUAGUUCAUAAGUGUGAUGAUUGGAUGUUCAUGCUGCUGCGUGACAUGUGCCUCCCUCAAACCUUGUUACAACCUCGGCACAUUACCCAUCUGACA
This 104-nucleotide small nucleolar RNA is filed under the name Zalophus californianus (California sea lion). RNAcentral describes it as "Small nucleolar RNA U13 (ENSZCAG00015021934.1)". It matches the Rfam family "Small nucleolar RNA U13". The record is from RNAcentral. RNAcentral also lists the same sequence under 2 other names. Lineage: Eukaryota; Metazoa; Chordata; Mammalia; Carnivora; Otariidae.